This 727-nucleotide ribosomal RNA is filed under the name uncultured Thermaceae bacterium. RNAcentral describes it as "bacterial SSU rRNA". It matches the Rfam family "Bacterial small subunit ribosomal RNA", at positions 578 to 1309 of the family's 1533-position model. The record is from RNAcentral. Lineage: Bacteria; Thermotogati; Deinococcota; Deinococci; Thermales; Thermaceae.
GUCUUUCAAGUCCGAUGCUAAAGACUGGGGCUCAACCCCAGGGGUGCGUUGGAUACUGUGAGGCUAGACGGUCGGAGGGGGUAGCGGAAUUUCCGGAGUAGCGGUGAAAUGCGCAGAUACCGGAAGGAACGCCAAUAGCGAAGGCAGCUACCUGGACAACUUGUGACGCUGAGGCGCGAAAGCGUGGGGAGCAAACCGGAUUAGAUACCCGGGUAGUCCACGCCCUAAACCAUGAGUGCUGGGUGUCCGGCUUCUGCUGGGUGCCGUAGCUAACGCGCUAAGCACUCCGCCUGGGAAGUACGCACGCAAGUGUGAAACUCAAAGGAAUUGACGGGGGCCCGCACAAGCGGUGGAGCAUGUGGUUUAAUUCGAAGCGACGCGAAGAACCUUACCAGGCCUUGACAUGCCCGGAACCCCUCUGAAAGGAGGGGGUGCCCGCAAGGGAGCCGGGACACAGGUGCUGCAUGGCCGUCGUCAGCUCGUGUCGUGAGAUGUUGGGUUAAGUCCCGCAACGAGCGCAACCCCUAUCCCUAGUUGCCAGCAGUUCGGCUGGGCACUCUAUGGAGACUGCCUGCGAAAGCAGGAGGAAGGCGGGGAUGACGUCUGGUCCGCAUGGCCCUUACGGCCUGGGCGACACACGUGCUACAAUGCCAAGGACAGAGCGCUGCUACCUCGCGAGAGGACGCCAAUCGCAAAAACCUUGGCUCAGUUCGGAUUGGAGUCUGCA